CCUACGGGUGGCAACAGUGGGGAAUAUUGGACAAUGGGGGGAACCCUGAUCCAGCGACGCCGCGUGAGUGAAGAAGUAUUUCGGUAUGUAAAGCUCUAUCAGCAGGGAAGAAAAUGACGGUACCUGACUAAGAAGCACCGGCUAACUACGUGCCAGCAGCCGCGGUAAUACGUAGGGGGCAAGCGUUAUUCGGAUUUACUGGGUGGAAAGGGAGCGGAGACGGUGCAGCAAGUCUCAUGUGAAAGGUCGGGGCUCAACCCCGGGACUGCAUUGGAAACUGUUGAACUGGAGUGCAGGAGAGGUUAGCGGAAUUCCUGGUGUAGGGGUGAAAUGCGUAGAUAUUAGGAGGAACACCAGUGGCGAAGGCGACUUACUGGACUAUAACUGACGUUGAGGCUCGAAAGCGUGGGGAGCAAACAGGAUUAGAUACCCCAGUAGUC
This 440-nucleotide ribosomal RNA is filed under the name uncultured bacterium. RNAcentral's name for it is "partial 16S ribosomal RNA". It matches the Rfam family "Bacterial small subunit ribosomal RNA", at positions 338 to 795 of the family's 1533-position model. The record is from RNAcentral.